GACGAACGCUGGCGGCGUGCUUAACACAUGCAAGUCGAACGGAAAGGCCCUGCUUUUGUGGGGUGCUCGAGUGGCGAACGGGUGAGUAACACGUGAGUAACCUGCCCUUGACUUUGGGAUAACUUCAGGAAACUGGGGCUAAUACCGGAUAGGAGCUCCUGCUGCAUGGUGGGGGUUGGAAAGUUUCGGCGGUUGGGGAUGGACUCGCGGCUUAUCAGCUUGUUGGUGGGGUAGUGGCUUACCAAGGCUUUGACGGGUAGCCGGCCUGAGAGGGUGACCGGCCACAUUGGGACUGAGAUACGGCACAGACUCCUACGGGAGGCAGCAGUGGGGAAUAGUGCACAAUGGGCGGAAGCCUGAUGCAGCAACGCCGCGUGCGGGAUGACGGCCUUCGGGUUGUAAACCGCUUUCGCCUGUGACGAAGCGUGAGUGACGGUAAUGGGUAAAGAAGCACAGGCUCACUACGUG
RNAcentral lists this ribosomal RNA (468 nucleotides) under uncultured bacterium. RNAcentral's name for it is "partial 16S ribosomal RNA". It matches the Rfam family "Bacterial small subunit ribosomal RNA", at positions 28 to 507 of the family's 1533-position model. The record is from RNAcentral.